GGCAAGAUGGCCGAGUGGUCUAAGGCGGUAGAUUUAAGUCUUGUUAAGACCCCUACUGGAGAAAUCCGCGUGGGUUCGAGUCCCACUCUUGUCA
Molecule: transfer RNA, 94 nt
Filed under: Bipolaris zeicola 26-R-13
Lineage: Eukaryota; Fungi; Ascomycota; Dothideomycetes; Pleosporales; Pleosporaceae
Also listed under: 1 other name
Rfam family: tRNA
About the family: Transfer RNA (tRNA) molecules are approximately 80 nucleotides in length. Their secondary structure includes four short double-helical elements and three loops (D, anti-codon, and T loops).
Source: Rfam by way of RNAcentral